This 253-nucleotide ribosomal RNA is filed under the name uncultured bacterium. RNAcentral's name for it is "partial 16S ribosomal RNA". It matches the Rfam family "Bacterial small subunit ribosomal RNA", at positions 524 to 776 of the family's 1533-position model. The record is from RNAcentral.
UACAGAGGGGGCAAGCGUUGUUCGGAAUUACUGGGCGUAAAGGGCGCGUAGGCGGCCUGUUAAGUCGAACGUGAAAUCCCCGGGCUCAACCCGGGAACUGCGUCCGAAACUGGCAGGCUCGAAUUCGGGAGAGGGAUGCGGAAUUCCAGGUGUAGCGGUGAAAUGCGUAGAUAUCAGGAGGAAUACCGAUGGCGAAGGCAGGUCUCUGGGCUGACACUGACGCUCAUGCACGAAAGCGUGGGGAGCAAACAGG